CGGGUGAGUAACACGUGGGAACGUGCCUUUAGGUUCGGAAUAGCUCCUGGAAACGGGUGGUAAUGCCGAAUGUGCCCUUCGGGGGAAAGAUUUAUCGCCUUUAGAGCGGCCCGCGUCUGAUUAGCUAGUUGGUGAGGUAACGGCUCACCAAGGCGACGAUCAGUAGCUGGUCUGAGAGGAUGACCAGCCACACUGGGACUGAGACACGGCCCAGACUCCUACGGGAGGCAGCAGUGGGGAAUCUUGCGCAAUGGGCGAAAGCCUGACGCAGCCAUGCCGCGUGAAUGAUGAAGGUCUUAGGAUUGUAAAAUUCUUUCACCGGGGACGAUAAUGACGGUACCCGGAGAAGAAGCCCCGGCUAACUUCGUGCCAGCAGCCGCGGUAAUACGAAGGGGGCUAGCGUUGCUCGGAAUUACUGGGCGUAAAGGGCGCGUAGGCGGAUCGUUAAGUCAGAGGUGAAAUCCCAGGGCUCAACCCUGGAACUGCCUUUGAUACUGGCGAUCUUGAGUAUGAGAGAGGUAUGUGGAACUCCGAGUGUAGAGGUGAAGUUCGUAGAUAUUCGGAAGAACACCAGUGGCGAAGGCGACAUACUGGCUCAUUACUGACGCUGAGGCGCGAAAGCGUGGGGAGCAACAGGAUUGGAUACCCUGGUAGUCCACGCCGUAAACGAUGAUUGCUAGUUGUCGGGCUGCAUGCAGUUCGGUGACGCACCUA
This 714-nucleotide ribosomal RNA is filed under the name uncultured bacterium. RNAcentral's name for it is "bacterial SSU rRNA". It matches the Rfam family "Bacterial small subunit ribosomal RNA", at positions 103 to 854 of the family's 1533-position model. The record is from RNAcentral.